Non-coding RNA from Macaca mulatta (Rhesus monkey), 2626 nucleotides. The record is from RefSeq and is a predicted model, not a curated record. NCBI's taxonomy places the organism in Eukaryota, Metazoa, Chordata, Mammalia, Primates, Cercopithecidae.
GGGUCUGGUUUGUACCCUCAGUUAUUAACCAUAAGUAUUUGUGUCAUGUGUUUUUGCCUGGGAAGGGGUCCAGAGAUUGGAGAGUAGUGUUCAGUCAUCAGUGGGUAGAAAUUGAUCAACUGUAGAAAGAAAUAAAUUACCAUGGAUAUGUACAUCAGCUGUGUCUGGUUUCUAGAGGCUAGGCUCGUGACUAGCUGAAAUAAUGAAAGGGAAAAGUGUGGGUAAUUUUCAAGUAAUUGAUAUAUUUGGGGCUCAUGUAAGCCACAAUUAUGAUUGUCACCUAAUUUGAUCCUUAUCUCAGAGCCAAAUCUUCUCACAGAGUUGUUCACAUGGGAUGCGUUUUUGAUCUUGAUUAUGGAGUCUUCAAUUCUCUUUCCAAAUGUUCAUUCUUCUCCCUCUGCAUGCCCCUCAGCACUAGAUUUUAUCAUCAGGCACAGAACAUCUUUCUGUGCAAUCUCUUCCAUACUCCAGGUGGCGAAUUAAAAACUAUAUGAGCAUGACUGGAAGUAAAACAUUUAGGCAGUACUUGCUGCUCUGGAGACAUUCAAAGAACAAUAAACCCCUCCAAUGCAGUAUUUAUUGACCUCCAAAAGUGAUAGCUAAUAGUGAAGACAGAGUGCCUGGGAGCUCCAGGCUAUACUCCAUGUUGAGACUGGCUGGGAGGUCUUCAGAAGUCCUCAGAUUGAGUGGUAGGUUCGCUUUAAAUCGACCAAAAAUUGUCAUCAAAAUUCAUGACUCUUUUUUACCCCAGCUUUCCUCCAACUAAUUGGGCCCUCUUCCUGGUCUCAAAAGCAUCGAGUUUUUAUUUGUCUCAGUGCCUUUGCACUUUCUGCUCUCUCUACUACAAUGCUCUUCCCAGAGCCCUACACAUAGUUGGUUAGCACAUUCUCGUCUUUCUGGCAUCAACUUAAAUACCGUCCCCACAAAGAGAUCGUCUUUGAACAAUCAAUUUAAAGUAAUCCAUCCAUGCCUUUUAUUUUCUUUAUGACACUUAUCUCAACUUUGUUCAUUUUGUGUCUCUUCCAUCAGACAAAAACCUCCUCUAAAGCAGAAAUUUUCAUCCUUCCUGCUCUAUGCUGAGUGCCCAGCCCAAUGGCAGACAAACCUGAUGCUCAGUAAUUAUUUGUUAAACAAAAUGGCAAGUGUGAGUGCUGUAGAGUAUUAUAUAUUUAAAUAUUAAUUUCAAGGAUUUUCAAGACUUUUGUUGACUUCUUCAAUGCAAUCUCCUCCCAUGCUGUAAGCACCUGGGGGCUCUUUUCCACCUCUUCCCUCUGCCAUCACAGUGUCUGACACAUAACAGAUACUAAAGAAACAUUUGCAGAAUCAGUGAGUGAUUCCAAAUUAAUUUGUAUUGGGUAUUUUAAUAUAGUCAUAAGUACAUCUCCGUGUCCAAGUGCAUCUCCAUGUCCAAGUAUAUAUCCAUGCCCAAGUACAUCUCCAUGCCCAAGUACAUCUCCAUGUCCGAGUACAUCCCCAUGUCCAAAUACAUCUCCAUAUCCAAUUACGUGUCCAUGUCCAAGUACAUUCAAGUACAUCCCCAUGUCCCACAUAUACCUGAGGAUACUGAAGCUUAGUGUGGUGGGCAGAAUAAUGCCCCUUCCUCAUAGAUGUCUAUACUCUAGUCCCUGGGACCUGUGCACAUUACCUUGUGUGGAAAAGGGAAUUUGCAGAUGUGACUCAGGUAAGGAUCUUGAGAUGGGGGGAUUAUCCUGGAUUGUACUGUUAGGUUCAAUAUAAUCACAAGAGUCCCUGUAUGAGGGAAGCAGGAAGGUCAGAACCUGAGAAAAGGCAGAGGUCAGAGUGAUGCAUUUGCUCCCUGGAGGACACAGUGAAAGAAUGUAAACAGCCCCUAGAAGUUAGAAAAGGCAAAGAAAUGAAUCCCCCUUAGAGAUUCCACAAGGAAGGCAAUCUUACUGACAUUUUGAUUUUAGCCCGUGAAAUCCAUUUUGGACUUCCAACCUUCAGCGCUGUAGAUAAUACAUUUGUGGCAUUUUAAGCACUAAGUUUGUGGUAAUUUGUGACAGAAGCAACAGGAAACUCAUACACUUAGUUCCUCACAUUGAGCCCUAACCACUCUAGCUCUCUGUCCAUCCCUGUUCCCUAUUAGCUAGAUUCCCUAAUUCACACACCUGGCAUCUCCAGAGAGGGAGUUCUAGAGUGUGGGACUGUCCCACCAAUCUAUGUGGAUUGUGAGUAGGUAGAUCAGAGAUCCAUGGAAGGCCGUCAAGACCAUCAGUGGUUGGCGUAGGUCAUGAAUAUGAUAGGGCCUUGAGGCACUUAAAGCAUUCUUAUUGAGUCACGGUGACAAGCUACUCUCUGGAUAAGUCUUCUUGAAAUGGAUUUUAGUCAAGCUUAGCACCAACGGCCAUUAGGAAGCCAACAACAUAACACAUUCCUCCUCUGUACUUAGCGGAUUAUUUAGUGAACUCAGCCGUGCUUCCCUUGAAGGAGUGAAAACAGACAUGGAAACUGGGGUGAGGCACACAGUGCAGCAUACAUCUGCCCUGGUGUGGACCUCUGCAUGAAGAAAUGUGAUGUACUAAAUAAACCCCUAUCACCAGGAAGCUUGUCUUCUUAUCUCAGACCUGCCACCUAUAAACUAUGUGACUUCCUGGUGUUAUAAUUU